CUACGGGGGGCACCAGUGGGGAAUAUUGCACAAUGGGGGAAGCCCUGAUGCAGCAACGCCGCGUGGAGGAUGACGCAUUUCGGUGUGUAAACUCCUUUUAUAUAGGAAGAUAAUGACGGUACUAUAUGAAUAAGCACCGGCUAACUCCGUGCCAGCAGCCGCGGUAAUACGGAGGGUGCAAGCGUUACUCGGAAUCACUGGGCGUAAAGCGCGCGCAGGCGGCCUUUUAAGUUGGAUGUGAAAGCCUAUGGCUUAACCAUAGAGCUGCAUCCAAAACUAUCAGGCUAGAGUCUGGGAGGGGAAGAUGGAAUUAGUUGUGUAGGGGUAAAAUCCGUAGAGAUGACUAGGAAUACCAAAAGCGAAGGCGAUCUUCUGGAACAGUACUGACGCUGAGGCGCGAAAGCGUGGGGAGCAAACAGGAUUAGAUACCCCCGUAGUC
RNAcentral lists this ribosomal RNA (439 nucleotides) under uncultured bacterium. Its description in RNAcentral is "partial 16S ribosomal RNA". It matches the Rfam family "Bacterial small subunit ribosomal RNA", at positions 339 to 795 of the family's 1533-position model. The record is from RNAcentral.